CCUACGGGUGGCAGCAGUGAGGAAUAUUGGUCAAUGGGCGAGAGCCUGAACCAGCCAAGUCGCGUGAAGGAUGACGGCCCUAGGGGUUUUAAACUUCUUUUGUAGGGGAGUAAAAAGGUGGUAGCAGACUCUGAAGCAUGGGCUAUAUACGUACCAGCAGCCCCAGUACCAUGGAGGGGGCGAGGGUUAUCCGGAUUUACUGGGUGUAAGGGGAGCGUAGGCGGCAAGGUAAGGCAGAAGUGAAAGGGUAGGGCUCAACCCUGGAAUUGCGGUUGAAACUGGGGUGCUAGAGUGCAGGAGAGGUAAGCGGAAUUCGUGGUGUAGCGGUGAAAUGCGUAGAUAUCACGAAGAACUCCGAUUGCGAAGGCAGCUUACUGGACUGCAACUGACGCUGAGGCUCGAAAGCGUGGGUAUCAAACAGGAUUAGAUACCCGGGUAGUC
RNAcentral lists this ribosomal RNA (441 nucleotides) under uncultured bacterium. RNAcentral's name for it is "partial 16S ribosomal RNA". It matches the Rfam family "Bacterial small subunit ribosomal RNA", at positions 338 to 795 of the family's 1533-position model. The record is from RNAcentral.